AGAGCGAACGCUGGCGGCAGGCUUAACACAUGCAAGUCGAGCGGGCGUAGCAAUACGUCAGCGGCAGACGGGUGAGUAACGCGUGGGAACAUACCUUUUGGUUCGGAACAACACAGGGAAACUUGUGCUAAUACCGGAUACGCCCUUACGGGGAAAGAUUUAUUGCCGAAGGAACGGCCCGCGUCCGAUUAGCUAGUUGGUGAGGUAAUGGCUCACCAAGGCGACGAUCGGUAGCUGGUCUGAGAGGAUGACCAGCCUCACUGGGACUGAGACACGGCCCAGACUCCUACGGGAGGCAGCGGUGGGGAAUAUUGGACAAUGGGCGCAAGCCUGAUCCAGCCAUGCCGCGUGGAUGAUGAAGGCCUUAGGGUUGUAAAGUCCUUUUAACGGGGAAGAUAAUGACGGUACCGUAGAAUAAGCCCGGCUAACUUCGUGCCAGCAGCCGC
This 446-nucleotide ribosomal RNA is filed under the name uncultured bacterium. RNAcentral describes it as "SSU rRNA". It matches the Rfam family "Bacterial small subunit ribosomal RNA", at positions 26 to 518 of the family's 1533-position model. The record is from RNAcentral.